AGCCCCGGGCUUAACCUGGGAACUGCUUGGUAUACUGAUUGGCUUGAGUCGGAUAGGGGUGCCUGGAACAAUAGGUGGAGCGGUGAAAUGCGUAGAUAUCUAUUGGAACGCCUGAGGCGAAAGCGGGGCACUGGGUCCGCACUGACGCUGAGACGCGAAAGCGUAGGGAGCGAACGGGAUUAGAUACCCCGGUAGUCUACGCCGUAAACGAUGCGUACUAGACUUUUACCCCUCUGACGGGGCGGGAGUCGAAAAGAAACCGAUAAGUACGCCGCCUGGGGAGUACGGCCGCAAGGCUAAAACUCAAAGGAAUUGACGGGGCCUCACACAAGCGGUGGAG
RNAcentral lists this ribosomal RNA (340 nucleotides) under uncultured Symbiodinium. Its description in RNAcentral is "partial Bacterial small subunit ribosomal RNA". It matches the Rfam family "Bacterial small subunit ribosomal RNA", at positions 599 to 937 of the family's 1533-position model. Lineage: Eukaryota; Dinophyceae; Suessiales; Symbiodiniaceae. The record is from RNAcentral.